GGUGGCAUUUUAUUUUAUUAGAGGAACCUGUUUAAUAAUCGACAAUCCACGUUAAAUUUAACUUUUUUAAAAAGUCUAUAUACCGCCGUCUAAAGAAAUUAUCUAAAAAUAAUCUCCACUCAUCAUUCUAAAAAGUUAGGUCAAGGUGUAACCUAUAAAAAAGUUUGUAAUGGGUUACAAUAAAUUUCAUUUAAGGAAUAAAAGUUCAAAAUCCUUUACGAAAGAGGAUUUAAAAGUACAUUACUAAUAAUAUUUUUAAACGAAAAUAGAUAAUAGAUGUGCACACAUCGCCCGUCGCUCUU
RNAcentral lists this ribosomal RNA (302 nucleotides) under Uroctea lesserti. RNAcentral's name for it is "partial 12S ribosomal RNA". Lineage: Eukaryota; Metazoa; Arthropoda; Arachnida; Araneae; Oecobiidae. The record is from RNAcentral.